Molecule: long non-coding RNA, 580 nt
Organism: Scleropages formosus (Asian bonytongue)
Lineage: Eukaryota; Metazoa; Chordata; Actinopteri; Osteoglossiformes; Osteoglossidae
Source: Ensembl
GUGACACGGCCCAGAGGGGUCCGACACGCCGCUCAACGAGGGCCAGAAAGAGCGGGAGAGAAAAACCCUUCUUGCGCUCUGCAAAUAUGUGUUUGAGUUCAACUCGUCGCUGGAAACGACUUUCCGAGCAUGGGAACGAACCGUGGAAGGACCACCAUCACCAUCAGGACAUGGAACAUCAGGACCAUGUUCGAUAUUGGCAAGACCUUACAAGUAGCUGCUGAGGGGAGGAAUUACAACCUCGCCAUUCUAGGAAUCAGCGAGUCAAGAGUCUUCUGAGUGGCAGGAAGAGACUCUAACCACUACGCCACCUACCGCCGCACGCGUGUAAUCUGUAUAUUCAACUGGCUGCUGGCCUCGGUGGCUCAGGUUUAUCCCUUGAUUCUUCAGCGUUUUUAAGUGCCAGCAGUCUUGAGAAUUCUCUUGGUUUUAAUAUUUUUAUUGAAUUUUUGGGACAUUCAUCUGCGGCCUCUCCUUUCCCACUGCUGGUCUGGAGCGCUCCGAGUAUCAGCUUUUUAUAUAACAUUUCCUCAAGUUCCCCUUCACAAUGUGCUUUUUUGUUUACUUAAAUCAGCCCUCU